ACUUGACAUGUGGUGUUCUACUUCCCAUCUAUACUAAAUUACUGAUCACUAUCCGUGUGAUACUUUAUUUGUAUACCAGAUAAAGUUGAUCCCUCCAAUGUAGUAGGGUAACAUAAUAGUAACUGAUUAGAAGGAGGGCGUGAGAGGGCCGGCCGGGGGUUAUGAUGGAAGCCUUUCAAUCCAGUAUCAAGGAUGAGAUUAAUAUAUUCCCUGAUCUCUUGGGAUCAACUUCAUGGAUACAAUAGAGAAGUCAUAGAAGCAUUUACUUAUGACACACGAUCAAGGUGGAGAAGAUCAUACUAACUAUUUCAGAAGCAUGAGAUAAUAAAAUCCGUGCUCUCUUAGAAUCAAGAAAUGCAAAUAGCUUGUCACUUAGUAAGUUCAACAUAUGGAAAUUGCAGAAUACUUGGGAAGACAACACAGUUAUCAUGAAUUAAUUUAUUUUACUUAUAAGAAAGAUACUUGAACAGAGGAAGACAUGUGGAUGUAGGAUCCAUCAAGGGUUAGUGCACGGAGAAGAGUAGCAAACUAGCAACUACAAAAAUUUUAAAUGAAAAAGGUUGAAACUUAAACUAAGCACAUACAAUAGAAAACCUGGAGAAAAGUUAUGACUGCCGUUAUGCUUUUUCUGAAUACACUACAGUAUCCGCCCUUUCCCUUGUUUUGAAUACACAGUAGUAAGCUUAGAAAAUGAAUACAUUGAUGUGAAUUAUUAAAAGAUUGGGCAAACCGAGAUAAUGAAGUAAAUGGUACAAAAUGCAUCUAUGUAUUCCAUUCUAAAUUCGUGUACUUGAGUCUUAGUUGUUGUUCACAGAUUCGAUUUAGUUUUCUGCGUGUUGUAACUCUACAAAUCCCAUAAAAUCUACUGUUUUUUACAUGUCCUGCUUCUACUGCUGCUAGAAGCUAGAAUGAUGAAACAUACCAAGUCCUGAAGAGUUUCUCCCUUUGUUUCAUCUCUGCUGUUGGACUGGAUUGGAGGGAAGAUGAUGUAGGCUAACUUAUGCGAAGACUUGGCUUUCCUCAAUCUGCAUCAAGAUGACGUGUUGCUAUCUACCAUCCUUGAGAAAGCAUCAAAAGGAUUUAUUUAUGUCAUCAUCAUACAUUUUCUUGCCCUUUGUUUAAACAUCUGAGGAACCACUUUCAGUAUCUUGUGCAUGCUGUAGGUUGCAACAUAACAAAGGUCAAAUGGUAGAUAAUAGAAAGUAUGUAAAGUUCAUCAUAAGGAUAUAUAUAUAUAUAUAUAUAUAUAUAUAUAUAUAUAUAUAUAUAUAUAUAUAUAUAUAUAUAUAUAUAAAAUCUUCAUUGGUCCUCUAGAAAAAAUCUUCUCAUGACUGUAGUCCUGAAUGUAUCAAAUCUUUCUGUACAACUGGACACCAUACUUCUCCUUUUUUUUUGAAUUUUCACCGGGGGGAGAUUUCCCCACCUGAAUUUCCAUAUAUGGGGCCAAAACGCCCAGGUAACCAGCAUGCACNNNNNNNNNNNNNNNNNNNNNNNNNNNNNNNNNNNNNNNNNNNNNNNNNNNNNNNNNNNNNNNNNNNNNNNNNNNNNNNNNNNNNNNNNNNNNNNNNNNNNNNNNNNNNNNNNNNNNNNNNNNNNNNNNNNNNNNNNNNNNNNNNNNNNNNNNNNNNNNNNNNNNNNNNNNNNNNNNNNNNNNNNNNNNNNNNNNNNNNNNNNNNNNNNNNNNNNNNNNNNNNNNNNNNNNNNNNNNNNNNNNNNNNNNNNNNNNNNNNNNNNNNNNNNNNNNNNNNNNNNNNNNNNNNNNNNNNNNNNNNNNNNNNNNNNNNNNNNNNNNNNNNNNNNNNNNNNNNNNNNNNNNNNNNNNNNNNNNNNNNNNNNNNNNNNNNNGGCAAAGCAACAAGCAUCAGGCAUCUCGAGGGCUUGCCAGGCAGCCCAGCCAUGCAUCGGAUGCCUGCUUUAGAGCAACAGGCAGACGCACCCGCCAAAGCACGGCGUCCUCUCUACACAAUUGCAGCAGUCGCGGGAGUGACGGGGGCAACCCCUGGAAGACCACCGCGUUGCGGUGCUUCCAAAGUUGCCAACAACGGAGAAGGAGGAAGGUCGAGCCCGUCCGCACCGGCACUGAGCCAGGGGGGACAUAGUGUGCAGCAGCCCAACGGAUGAGACCGCCGAGGCAACUCCCAUCACAGACCAGAAGCGCUGAGCAAAAGGGCAGUCAAAGAUGAGAUGGUCCGCCAACUCCAGGGGCGCCGAGCAGAUGGGGCAGCCAGCCCCCGCCGCCUCCAGAAUGUGCUUCCGUAGGAGGACGUCUCUUGUCUGGAUCCGGGCCUGGACCAAGAGCCAAACGAAGAAGCGGACGUGACUUGGAGCGUAGUUCUUCCAGACAAAAUCAGCGUGCGGCGCAAGCACCCCACCAAAGUGGCAUAGUUGGUAGAGGCUGGCGGAGGAGAGCGCAACACCCUUGUCACAGCCUGGGCGGAGGGAUCGAAUAUCCGGCUCCGUAGUGAGGGCCAGCGCCCGGAUGAUUGGGAGGAGUAUCGCGCACUCCCUGGCGCCCACAUGGUUCAGGCGGGGGACGAGGACCCCAGCAAGCCCGUGUUGGAAGAAGUGAGCAACCGAGGCCGACGGCAUGGUGGUGUGAGAGAAGAGGGAGCUCAUCUGGACGGAUAGGGCACCACCGGGAAGCCAGGAGUCCAGCAGAACGCCGUAGUGCGGCCGUCACCGACGGAGACAGCGGUGACCGCCCGGUACACAUGCAUAAGCUUGGCGAGGGAGGCCCAGUGCGGUCCGGGGAGCGACACCGCCACUGCCGAGGUCAGCAGCGAGCGUCCCAGCUCACCCCAGACCCAGCGAGCCCAUGGUGCAUCCUGGCGCGAGUGAAGGCGAUGAAGGAGCUUCAGGAGGAGGCACCGGUUCUGGACCGGGAGGGCGCGAAUCCCCAGCCCCACCUCAUCCUUGGGACGGACGGCGCGGUCCCAGGCGAUGAGACACUGGGCCCCAGAGGCUUUGUCUGUCGCGGUCCAGAGGAAGGAGCGGCGCAGGGCGUCGAUCGCCCGGAGCACAGAGGGCGGGACCUCCAUCGCAAACAUGGCAUACGUGGGGAGAGCGUCCAGCACGGCGUUGAGCAGCACCAGGCGCCCCCCCGAAGGACAGAAGCUGAGCGCGCCAGCCAGAGAGGUAGCGCUCAGCUUUGGCAAUGAGCGGGAGGAAGUCGUCCAUGGUGAGCUUGUGGUUGGAGAGCGGCAGGCCGAGGUAGAUUUGAGGGAAGCUCCCAACACAGCAGCCCAACUCACGGAUCAUGUCGUGAAGAUCAUCCUCGAGGACAUGGACGGGCGCGAUGGUGCUUUUGUGGAAGUUGAUGACUAGCCCCGUCGCAGCCGCGAAGUCGUCCAGGAUGCCCUUGAGACGCCGAACCGCGCUCAGCUCCGCAUGCAUGAUGAUGAUGGUGUCAUCAACGUACUGAAGGACAAGCGGGGGCGCAUCGGCAAACAGAGGCUGGCGCAUCCCACCAUCCUUCUUGAUCAUCUGUUGCAGCACGUCCGCGACGAGGAGGAACAGGUAGGGGGAGAGGGGGUCCCCCUGCCGCAAUACCUUCUUGCAUUUGAUCCAUCGCACGAGCACGCCAUUUGGUACCACCGCGGACAUGGACGACUGGAAGAUUGAGUCCAUCCAGUCACACCAGAGAGACGGGAAGCCACGCACCUCCAUAAUUGGGUGAAGGCUUCGCCAGUCGAUGGAGUCAAGGGCUUUGGCAAAGUCCAGCUUCAAGACCAACGAGGGAGCCCGGCGGGUCUCGCAGCAUUGGACAAUUUCCGUUGCAUACAUAAAGUUCUCGGAGAUGUUCCGCCCUUUAAUGAACCCUGAUUGGUCCACAUCCACCACGUCCGAGAUUUGUUGCUGAAGGCGCGUGGUCAGAACCUUGCACGGGAUCUUGAUAUCGUAGUUCUGGAGCGAGAUGGGUCGGAAACCACCUGGAGCGAGCACCCCCUCGGCCUUGGGAAGCAGCACAACAUGCGCGCGGUUGAUACAGGAGAGGUUCACGGAGUUGUCAUAGAACCCCUCCAUCAACCGCAUCACAUCGCCGGAGACCAGCUCCCAGGCGGCCUGGUAGAAGCCCGGACCAAGGCCAUCGGGCCCCGAGGCGCUGGUUCUGUCGAGGCUGGCGACAGCCGCCUUGAUCUCGGCCAUCUCGAAGGGGGCAACCAGUUUGNNNNNNNNNNNNNNNNNNNNNNNNNNNNNNNNNNNNNNNNNNNNNNNNNNNNNNNNNNNNNNNNNNNNNNNNNNNNNNNNNNNNNNNNNNNNNNNNNNNNNNNNNNNNNNNNNNNNNNNNNNNNNNNNNNNNNNNNNNNNNNNNNNNNNNNNNNNNNNNNNNNNNNNNNNNNNNNNNNNNNNNNNNNNNNNNNNNNNNNNNNNNNNNNNNNNNNNNNNNNNNNNNNNNNNNNNNNNNNAUAGCGCCGGCAGGUCGAAGUGCCAGACGGGAACCCCCGCCCGACCGAGGAGGGCGCAGUAGAAGGCAUGGAGGGCCUCCGCCUUGGUCGCAUGGCCGACAACGAUCGUGCCACCGACAUCCAGAGCUAUGAUUCGGUUUGACUGGAAGCGCUGCGAUGCCUGGGCAUGGAAGAAUCAGCCAUACUUCUCCUUUAAUCCCAUCAAUUCCUCCAUACUUGUCUUUUAAUCUCAUCAGUUCCUGUGAUGCGCAAGAAUGACAAUACAUGGUCAGCGAUGAUGCAUGCAUUUUCAUGUUUAACAAAGCAGAGAGACAUCAUGGGACAAAAAUAAAUAUAGCAGAUCCACACCUCUGAACAAAUAAAAUCACGGAAAGUGAUAUCUGAUAUCAUUAACAAAGCUUGUCAAAAAUAAAUAUACCAGAUCCACACCUCUGAACAAAAUCACGGAAAAUAAAUAUAUAGUUAUAUACCUCCUCGGUUUCAUGGAGUCUGUACAGAAAGUUCUCCUCUGAUCGUACGUUGGCUGUGCCUUGAGAGAGAGCAGGUUAACACUUGUAAUCACCAGCAGCUAUGCAGAUUUUGUGCCAAGCAUCCAUCCUGAUAGAAAAGACGGGGGUGGCGGCGGCUCAAGAUCCACGUUUCGCGGGGCAUCCGGUCGCACGACAACUCCUCCUGGCCUCUGCAGUAGGACGACGACGUGGCAUGGCGCGACCGGCGGCAAGGUGCACUGGGGCGGCAAGAGGAGGUGAAGGCGUAGCCGCGCGCGCCACGAGACGGCCGGCGGUGAUAUGAAGAUGAGGGACCGUGAGAGAUGUGGUGGAGACGGGAUAAAAGAAGGAGUAGACACGCACACGCGGUGGUGAAUUUUACGAUUCUGGAAAUCGUGGCCCAUGAAGCGGACUCGUGGAAGUCAAAGUGCAUCCGUUACGGAAGUCCAGGAAUCAGAAGAUAAUUACGCCUUGGAGCCGGACGGGUGGCCUCACAUGCCCUCAUCGUCAGUUACAGAAGCGGUGUUUUUUUCUGGUAAACUGUUCGGUUGUUUACAUGGAACCGAGAAAAAUGAUUGGACGGCAACUGCUGACAUGGCAUGUGUGCUGAUGUGGAUAGGCUGCAUGUCAAGAGAAAUCAUAUAGUGGGAGUAUUAUAGAUUAUAGAUGUGACUCAUCUGAUUAGGCGGAUUCAAUGGCUAAUUAUGACCCUCGAGAUCCGCCGCAACUUGUGCUUUUUUAUGAUGGUACAGUACAGGUAGUAGAUGUGUGGAUUGUACUAUAUUCUAUUGAGUUGGCAAGGUAUGCAAGAUAAUUUUGCUUCUAUCGAGUUCUCUAGAGAUCAUAAUGUCUCUAGAGAUCACACACACAGACAACCAAAAAAAUGUUCACUUAGGGAUCUCACGUACAACAACAAAACGGAGCCACACAUAAGUAAUAACUGAGCAAAUUUGACCUCAAGUGAAAGAGCUAAACAAAACCUUCUCACUACAUUCCAUUCACUUCUUAGUAUCAUCCUACAAGUGCAGAUUUUGAAUGCACAAGCGGCAACCAAUCAAAUAAAAAUGAUAUCUAUCAUCAACACACUAGAUUAUAUUAAUAUGUUUAUUACACGGGCAGUUCAGCCACAGAUUAUGCAAGCAAAAACACUGACAAGAAAACACGGGCAGUUUGGCUCGGUGUCGGGUUGGAUUUCAUUGUAAAACUGGUUCUGGCCGAGAGGCCUCCUUGAGUAAUGAAAUUCUUUUUUUCCCACAAAAAAGAAAAAAAAAAGGUUAAUUUUGAUUGGCCUUUUUAAUAAGAUGGCCGCAUGCAUCAUUCUGAUGCAGAGGCCGAGGGUAAUCCUCCUUUUUAAAAGAAAAAAAAAGAGAUUAAUUUUGAUUGGCCUUUUUAAUAAGGUGGCCGCAUGCAUCGUUCUGAUGCAGAGGCCGGGGGUAAUCCUCCUUUUUAAAAGAAAAGAAAAGAGAUAAUGUAAGAAAAUGGCAUUACCACUACACUGCUGAAUCUCGAGUUUGUGUAUAAUACAUCAACAGAGUAGUCAUGCGCUUGAAGCAUGCUUCUUUUGUAUACAGUUCCGCGUCAGCUCCCACCAAGGGGAUUUCUUUCGACAUCCUAACAGUUGUUCUUCUAGGGUACCCACUGUGGUCUCGAACCGAGACCGGUGGAGCGCGAGCCGGAGGGCUAUCUUCUCACCAUUCAAUUAGGCAGCAAACUCCUAGUCGACAUCGUGGUUGGGUCCGGACCGGCAGACUCUGAUCCAGUGCUCGACAUGGCGGAGAUGGCUGAAAAAUGGAAAGGAGAUGUCUGGCGCGGAGCGGACAAUGAGAGUAGCUAAGGUUUGGUCCGAGAUGGUGAUAGGGGUGGGGUUUGGUGGGAUUGGGGUGGGCCAGUCCGACGUGGUAGAUGUGUCCGGACAGUCCCAAAUCUAUCCCACAUAUGGGCUGGAAAUUGAGGUGACAGAUAGCCCCGACUUAUAGGGUGGAAAUGGGGGUCUAGUUGGGUGGCGAUUUUCUAUCUGGAUCAUUUCUGGGCAGUCCCUAGUAUGUCCCAUGUACGGGCUGGCAUAUGGGAUGGAAAUGGGGCCUGAUUGGAUGGCCACUUUCUAUCUAGGUCGUGUCUGGGCAGUCCCAAAUAUGUCCNNNNNNNNNNNNNNNNNNNNNNNNNNNNNNNNNNNNNNNNNNNNNNNNNNNNNNNNNNNNNNNNNNNNNNNNNNNNNNNNNNNNNNNNNNNNNNNNNNNNNNNNNNNNNNNNNNNNNNNNNNNNNNNNNNNNNNNNNNNNNNNNNNNNNNNNNNNNNNNNNNNNNNNNNNNNNNNNNNNNNNNNNNNNNNNNNNNNNNNNNNNNNNNNNNNNNNNNNNNNNNNNNNNNNNNNNNNNNNNNNNNNNNNNNNNNNNNNNNNNNNNNNNNNNNNNNNNNNNNNNNNNNNNNNNNNNNNNNNNNNNNNNNNNNNNNACCAUGACAUGUGGGAUGGAAAUCCGGGUUUGGUAGGGUGGCGAUUUUCUAUCUCGGUCAUGUCUAGGCUGUUUGCCCAAACAAAUCGGGGGGAAUUUUAGGGGUCUAAUUUGAAGAUGCUCUGACUCCUAGACUAGCGAUCUUCAUAGUUCCAGACUGUGCUCCAUCGGAAUCUUUCGUAAGCAUCUCUUAGUGACUCGAAACAUUGCAAGAGCCCUGCGCUCACGAAAGACUAUACCUUUUUAGGGACUACCAGAGGCCCUGGUGACAUAAUAGAAGGAUGAGGGAAGGAGGAAGAGAGGAUAGUACUAAAUGUGAUAAAAAAUUUAACAUUUGGGGAUCUGAAAUAUUUCUGGGAAUAUAUAUUUCCUUCUAAAAAGGUAAUUCAUAUGAAAUGGUUGAAAGUGAAAGUAGUGGGAAGCAAAGGAAGGUUAUGGCUUGAAGAAUUUCCAUGAUCUAAUCUCGAAAUGAUUAGUGCAUUUCUACAAGAUUCAUGGAUUUACAAACGGAGAAAAAGAAAAGAAACGUUGAAAAUAAAAAAAAUAAAAAAAAUUGACAGCUGUGGGAUUUGAAGCCACGCCCUUUCGGACCAGAGCCUAAAUCUGGCGCCUUAGACCACUCGGCCAAACUAUCUUUAUUAAUUGUUGUAUUAAUUUGUAUAUAUAUAUCCUAAUCACAACUGGUAGCCUGUUAUUUGUUUUGUGGGAACUUGUAGCGUUAAAGAAAUAACAGGCUAUGUGACCCAAAUAUCUAUUAUUAAUUGUUGUAUUAAUUUGUAUAUAUAUAUAUCCUAAUCACACCUUCUCAAACUUAUAGCCCAAAGUGUCUUGCUUCCAGCAUCUAGAUAUUUGGGUCUAUGUGGGCAAAAAAACAUUAGUGGAGAUGCUAACUGGUAACUUCUCAAACUUGUGAUAAUCUCUGUGUAGUAUCACAAUUUCUUUGUGUGGGGGAGCUCUCCAAAUGAUGAGGGUAACUACAAACUGAUGUGACUGAUGGACAACGAGAGGUUUCCAAAUUAUUGAUAACCUAUUAGAAACUAUAGAUAUGAUGUGCAACAUCAUUAGAGCAAUGUGACUCAUCUGAUUUAGGCGGGUUUAAUGGUUAAUUGUGACCCUCAAGAUCCGAGUAAAUUGCAGAAAACCACCAGUUUGAAGGUUAGGUUUGCGAAAAACACUACAAUACAUUAUUUUUGCAGAAAACACUAGGUCUCCAGUAAUCCUUUUGCAAAAACCACUGAUCGGCGGAUUUGGCUCGGUUAAGCAAGCUUAUGACAAUUGGGGCCCCUUUUUGCCUAUGUGGCAUAACAUUUCAUGCUAGGUCAAUUUUAAUCUAAUUUUACAAACUAGUCCAUACAUUUUACACAGACACCCCUAAAUCAAAAAGGAAAAAAUGCAAUCAGAUCCUCGCCACAGGUUGGGGCGGUCAACGCAGCCUGCGCUGGGCGCCUUCUCGCGCAGGAGGCCAAAUCGGGCCAGCGGCGGCAUCCCUCGCCGGAUCCAGCAGCCGGCGCUGGGCGCCUCCUCGCGCUGGAGGCCAAUCGGGGUGGUGGGGUGGCGGCGCGGCAUACCUGGCCGGAUCCGGCAGCCGUCGCAGGGCGUCUAUUCGCGCUGGAGACCAAAUCGGGGCGACGGCGCGACCUCCCUCGCCGGCUCCGGACGUGGCGGCGCUGGGGGCUAAAAAAGGGUGACAGCGCAGCGCGACAACCCUCGCCGGAGGUGCGACGCCUGGAGCGUGUGCGCGCACCGCCGUCGACAGCUCAUGUGGAGUGGCGUCGGGAGGCUUGCUCGAGGUGGGCUCUUACCCGCCUGGGCGGUGCAUGGCGGCGGUGGCGCGGCCGAGGAGAGGCGGUUGCGGCCGGCAGAGCUGCGAGCACGGCGGCGGCUGGCGCAUGGUGGUCACCGGCGCCAUCGAGGCGGCUGACUGUGUGGCAGGACAUGGCAAGGGCCUGGGCAGCACAAGGCAAAAAACUUAUGGGUGUUUUUUCUUUUUUACCCGUCUAACGCUGUCUUGGGUAAAAUGUUAUGCCAUGUCAGCGAAAAAUGGGACCCUUCUGUCAUAAUCUUACUUAACAGCGCAAGAUCCACCGAUCAGUGGUUUUUGCAAAAAGAUUACUGAAGAUGUGGUGUUUUCUGAAGAAAAAAAUGUAUUGUAGUGUUUUUCGCAAACCUAACCUUCAAACUGGUGGUUUUCUGCAAUUUACUCCUCAAGAUCCGGCGCAACUUGUGCUUUUUAUGUUGGUAGUACAAGUAGUAGAUGUGGAGUGUAUAUUCUACUCCCUCCGUUUCUAAAUAUAAGUCUUUGGAGAGAUUCCACUAUGGACCACAUACGGAGCAAAAUGAGUGAAUCUAUACUCUAAAAUGCAUCUAGAUACAUCCGUAUGUGGUCCAUAGUGAAAUCUCUAUAAAGACUUAUAUUUAGGAACGGAGGAUGUUUUAAGGAGUUGGCAAGGUAUGCAAGAUAAUUUUGCUUCUAUCAAAUUCUCUAGAGAUCACACGCAAACAACCAGAAAAUUGUCUAUGGAGGUCACACAAAGACAACCAAAAAAUGUUAUCUAGGGUCCUCUCACACACAAGCAACAAAACAUAGGCACACAUAAGUCAAUAACUGAGCAAAUUUGACCUCAAGUGAAGGAUCUAAACAAAACCUUCUCACUACAUUCCAUUCACUUCUUAGUACCAUCCUACAAGUGCAGAUUCUGAAUACACAAGUGGCAACCAAUCAAAUAGAAAUGAUGUCUAUCAUCAACACACUAGAUUAUAUUUAUAUGUUUACGAGCAAUUCAGGCAAAGAUUAUGCGAGGAAAAACACCGGCAAGAAAAGAGGUUAAUGUAAGAAAAUGGCAUUGCCACUACACUGCUGAAUCUCGAGUCUGUGUAUAAUACAUAAACAUAGUAGUCAUACGCUUGAAGCAUGCUUCUUUUGUAUGCAGUUCCAUGUUAACUCCCACCAAGGGGAUUUCUUUCGACAUCCUAAUAGUUAUUCUUCUCGGGUACUCACUGUGGUCUCAACCCGAGACCGGUGAAGCGCGAGCCGGAGGGCUAUCUUCUCCUCGUUCGAUCAGGCGGCAAACUCCCAGUCAACGUUGUGGUUGGAUCUGGACCUGGCGGACUCUGAUCUGGUGCUCGACAUGGCGAAGACGGCUGAAAAGGGAAGGAGAUGACCGUGGGCGGAGCGGACAAUGAGAGUAGCUAAGAUUUGGUCCAAGAUGGUGAUAGGGGUGAGGUUUUGUGGGGUCAUGUAGGCCAGUCCGAAGUGAUAGAUGUGUCUGGACAGUCUCAAAUCUAUCCCACAUAUGGGCUGGAAAUUGAGGUGCCAAACAGCCCUGGGUGGGUGCUAAUUUUCUAUCUGGGUUGUGUCUGAGAUGUCCCAAAUCUGUCCAAGAUGGUGAUAGGAUCGGAGUGAGGUUUUGUGGGGUCGGGUAGGCCAAUCCGGCGUGACAUAUGCGUCUGGGCAGUCUCAAAUCUGUCCCACAUAUGGGCUGGAAAUGGAGGUUUUAAACAGCCCUGGUUGGGUGGCAAUUUUCUAUUUGGGUCGUGUCGGAGCUGUCCCAAACCUAUCCCACAUAUGGGCUGGAAAUGGGAGUGCCAAACAGCCCCGACAUAUGGGAUGGAAAUAGGGGUCUGGUUGGGUGGCCAUUUUCUACCUGGGUCGUGUCUGAGCUGUCUGUCGGAACAAAUAGGGGGAAUUGUAGGGGUCCGGUUUGAAGAUGCUCUUACUCCUAGACUAGGAACCUUCACAAUCCCAGACUGUGCUGCAGCGAAAUCUUUUGUAAGCAUCUCUUAGUGACUCAAAAUAUUGCAAGAGCCCUGCGCUCAUGAAAGACUAUACCUUUAUAGUGACUACAAGAGGCCCUGGGCAUAAUAGAAGGAGGGAAGGAGGAAGAGAGGAUAGUACUAAAUGUGAUAAAAGUUUAACAUUUCUAGGAAUAUAUAUUUCCUUCGAGGUUUUUUAACAUGCUCCCUAGUAUAAAAUAGAUCUGAGCCAUUGAUUGCAUUGAGUAGUGGAUUUGAUUAACUCUUACGUUCUUACCUCCUAUGUGAAAAGAGGGGGUAAGAGGGAGCAUGUUAAAAUUGCUCAUUUCCUUCUAAAAAGGUAAUUCAUUUUUUUUGAAACGAGGCAAAAGAUUCGCCAUUUUCAUUGAUUGAGAGAGAAGUUUAAGAGAUUAGGGCCCAUGGUCAAAUUACAACAAUCCUAGCAACGAUAACUCCAACCGGGACAGUAGUAUUACGAGGCAUUCCUCUCGUUCCACAACUCCCAAGAGAUAAGAAGCAUCAAGGAAGCAAGUGGUCUUCGCGAUUGGGGUGACAAGACUUUUCGAACAAUUUGUGACAAGGCCAGUGACAUCCCCAAAGUGCUUGAGAGUGUCAGUGAAAAACUGGACGUCAUAUGAAAUGGUUGAAAGUGAAAGAAGUGGGCAGAAAGGAAGGUUAUGGCUUGAAGAAUUUCCAUGAUCUAAUCUAGAAAUGGUUAGUGCAUUUUGACAAGAUUCAUGGAUUUACAAGAGGAUAAAAAGGAAAGAAACGUUGAAAAUAAAAUAAAAUAAAAUAAGAAGAGGAGAAAAAGAAAAGGAACAUCGAAAAUAAAGGCAACCCAAGGUAUUUCAUCGGAAAGGAGGAAAGCUUGGCCGGGAAGGAUUGGAGGAUUGUGUCUUCUUGGUAUCAUUGUGGCUCCACCACUCUUUAGCGGAAGUCGCGUCACUCCAAUCACUAGGAUGCACAUCAUGGAGACCCAGCCAAUCUUUGAUCAUGUGCCAAACUCUCAUAGUGCAUCUGCAUUGGAAUAGAAGGUGGGCCGCUGACUCUUGAACCUGCUUACAUAGGGGACAAAGGUUACUGUGUGGCCACCCAUGACAUUGAAGCCUAUCCGCUGUCCAGAUCCUAUUGUUGAUUGGCAACCAAGCGAAGAACUUGCAUUUAAGAGGCGCCCAAACCUUCCAAACGGUCGAUAUCAUCUCAGUGUCAGUACGGCCAAAGAACUGCGCGUUGUAGGUCGACGUCGCCGAGUAGUGUCCAUCAAUGGUGAACUUCCAAGUGAUAGUGUCGGGCAUGUUGAUGUCGAGGUGGAUAUGGGAGACCUUCUCCCAAGGGGUGACAAAUUCAGAGAGGUGUUCGACAGUGAUGCCGCGAAGGAUGUCCACCUGGGAAGUCCAAAAGUUGUCGUGCAGAGCCAUUAGAACUGAGCAAUUCUUCUUCUUCGACAAUUCAUAUAUUUUAGGGGCCAUGUCUUUGGGCCCAAUCCCUUCUAGCCAAGGAGACUCCCAAAACUUGGCAUGCAAGCCAUUGCCAACUUCAACCUUGGUAGCUCCAGCAAAAAUAUUUCGGUCGGUGUCAUCACAAGGGGUUCCCAAGCCAACCCAUGGCUUGUCCGGGUGGAGCCACUCGGCCCAUAGCCACCGGAGACGAAGGGCGAUGGCAACCUUGUCAUGAUUUAGGAUUCCCAGGCCUCCAUGCAGUUUGGACUUGCGCACUUGUUCCCAGUUUAUCUUGCAUUUUCCACCUGUGACUUUAUCACAACCUACCCAAAGGAAAGCACAUCUGAGGGCAUCAAUCUUCUUCUUGACCUCCAACGGUAAAUCUAGCACCAUCAUAUAGUAGACAACAAUCGCCGUGAGGAAAACCUACUUGACCAAGACCGCCUGACCUGCCGAGGCAAUGUGCCUUCCCACCCAAGGGGUGAGCUGACCCGCAAUCUUGUCCUCGAGGGGCUGGUAGUGAAUUCUCUUCAACCUCUUGACUGAUAAAGGCAACCCAAGGUAUUUCAUCGGGGAGGAGGAAAGCUUGGCCAGGAAGGUUUGGAGGAUGUCCGGAAGAUCAACAUUUUCACAACGGAUUGGGGUGACAAGACUUUUCGAACAAUUUGUGACAAGGCCAGUGACAUCCCCAAAGUGCUUGAGAGUGUCAGUGAAAAACUGGACGUCAUAUGAAAUGGUUGAAAGUGAAAGAAGUGGGCAGAAAGGAAGGUUAUGGCUUGAAGAAUUUCCAUGAUCUAAUCUAGAAAUGGUUAGUGCAUUUUGACAAGAUUCAUGGAUUUACAAGAGGAUAAAAAGGAAAGAAACGUUGAAAAUAAAAUAAAAUAAAAUAAGAAGAGGAGAAAAAGAAAAGGAACAUCGAAAAUAAAGGCAACCCAAGGUAUUUCAUCGGAAAGGAGGAAAGCUUGGCCGGGAAGGAUUGGAGGAUGUCCGGAAGAUCAACAUUUUCGCAACAGUUUGGGGCGACAAGACUUUUGGAACAAUUUGUGACUAGGACAGUGACAUCCCCCAAAGUGCUUGAGAGUGUCAGUGAAAAACUAGACGUCAUAUGAAAUAGUUGAAAGUGAAGUUAUGGUUUGAAGAAUUUCCAUGAUCUAAUCUAGAAAUGGUUAGUGCAUUUUUACAAGAUUCAUGGAUUUACAAGAGGAGAAAAGAGAAAAGGAACGUUGAAAAUAAAACAAAAUAAAAGGAGGAGAAAAAGAAAAGGAGCGUUGAAAAUAAAACAAAAUAAAAGGAGGAGAAAAAGGAAAGGAGCGUUGAAAAUAAAACAAAAUAAAAAGAGGAGAAAAAGAAAAGGAACGUUGAAAAUAAAACGAACAAAAAGGUAUGACAGCUGUGGGGUUUGAACCCACGCCCUUUCGGACCAGAGCCUAAAUCUGGCGCCUUAGACCACUCGGCCAAACUGUCUUUGGUGACAACAUGUCUGUAUUGGCCUAUAUAUUGUCGGCAACCAUAACUCGUAGUGUUAAAUGUACACUUUUCCAGGUGAAAACGCAGUCUUGCUUCCAGAGUUCCAGCAUGUAGAUAUUUUGGCCUAUCCAUGGUUCAUAUGCUAACAGGCAACUUCUCAAAGUAGUGGUCAUGUAUGUGUAUUACUCCCUCUUUUCUUCUUAAUGAAUGCAAAGAAUCUGCCAUUUCGAAAGAAAUGUUGGAACGCUUAUUUUGGAACGGAGGGACCUCCGAAUAAUUGAUAACCAAUUAGAAACUAUACAAUGCGAUGUGCAGCAUCACCAUAUCAAACACGAGUCGUCUGAUUUAGGCUCUCUCAGAUCCACCACAACCCAACCGAAAUAUGCUAUCUAGAGAGAUCACACACAAACAACAAUAAAAAGAAGCUCUCCAAAUAUCACACCAAAGAAUGUUCUCUAAAGAUCACACACACACAAACAAAAAAUUGGGGCACACAUAACUGAGCAACUUUAGCUUCAGGUCCAACAUCUAAACAAAAUCUUGUCACUUCAUUCCAUCCAAUAGCUCAUACCAUUCUCCAAGUGCAGAUUCUGGAUGCACAAGUGGCAAACCAACCAUAGAAAGACUGCCUCGCGUCCAUCGACGGCGCCAGAUCAUAUGCUUUACACGACCGGUUCAGCACGGAUUACCAACUAGAUUACCAAAUCUCGGGUACGCGUAUACGUAAAUACAGUAGUCAAGCGCGCUUCUUUGUACACAGUUUCACGUUAGCUCCCUCCCGCCAAGGGAUUUCUUUUCCACAUCCUAACAGGCGUUCUUCUCUCGGGCACUCCUUGUGGUCUUGUGUGAGCCUUUACCACUCCUCGUCCAGGGUAGCCCUGUGGAAGCACAGCACCGUGCACACGAGGAUGAAGAAGGACGUGAACUCGAUGAACAUGGCCCCCGUCUCGAUCAGGCCAGCAUGCCUCAGGAUCGCCGGGAUUGCGAGGCUUCCCAUGGCAGACAUGCCGGUCAGGAACUUGGCUGCUUUCAUCCACCUGAAAAACGAUAUGCCCUGUCUGAUUACAAUCUUUAUGGUAGCGAAUGUGUGGAUCAGCAUCCUAAGUUGUGAUUGCCUAUUGCCUAUCAUGUGCUCUGUGCCGAUAUACAUGUUCACAUUACUACUUCUCCAAAGGAAAGAGAAUCAUCAAGUUAGAACUUACGCUCCACCCUCUCCGCUACUCAAGAACCGUGUGGAUCCGUCGCCAAAGAACAGGCAUGGCAUUGGCACAAUGAUAUACAUGAGUGCUGCAGAACAGAAAAAGCACGCACAAGAACGUCAGUGGAAAAGUCACAGGGACUUGCUCACGGUGAUUGAGGAUAAGAAACUAGCAGUCACCUGCUAACAUAGGCCACCAGUUGUUGUACAAAGCACAUGCCUGCACCAAGAAAAUGAAGAGUCAGAGAAUUCAGAAGUAACAACUUGGUCAAAUAACAAGGGAUGGCAAUCUGAUGCUGCUCAAUAACCUCCAUAUAAAAUAAUUACUACAGUAGGCGUGCAUGUCGAUACAAUCAGACCAAUCUUUGUGUGCAUCGACUCCUAUAACUGAAUAACAAGAGUAACCCUGAAGUGACCAGCAACCAUGUCACAAUAUUACUCUUUCGUACAUUCCUUGCCUCUUUGGCACAAUCACACAAUAGAAUACUGGGCAUGAAUGAAUUGCAGAAACAAAACUUGAAAUCAAUCUGUCAGGUUGUCCUCAAAGUUACUGAAACUGACAGUGAGUAAAACAAUUGCUGCCACUGUACCAUCUUUCAGAAACCUGAUUCGGUGAGCUCUAGGCAUGGAUGUACAUAUAGCUUACCAGGAUUUGCAAAAGAACGCUGGUGGAGAACAUACACGCAAGUCCAGCGAGCCUGUAACAGAAAAUUAUAAUAAGAUGACACACUUGUCAAACGCAAAACAAUGGUUAAGAGCCAUCAGAAUGAUGAACUUACACUGCAAAGACGCACGCCAAGAGUAAGUUGACAGAAUCAUCCAGCAGCAGCAAGGACGAAAGCAAAGCAGACGAGGAACACACAAGUUAGUCAAACACUUGAAGCAAUUAGCAGGAUACAAGAAAGAUAGAUAUUAUCAAGAACUGCUCAGAGUGCAAGAACGUAAUAUAGAUGCUGAAACUGGACUGUACUACCAGAGGGUAACUGCUCAUUACAUAGCCUUAAUUCAUGAAAAUGGGGGUAAGCCAAACCGUGUUUCAUAUUUAAUGGAACCCCUUUAUUCCUAUGUUAAUGUUUGCUCAUUACACAUAAGGCAGACACAAGACCGAACGGAUAUAUCAGUUGAGCCAGGAAUUUCCCACGACGCAAAACCACAGAGCUCUAGCCUGAACUGAUAGCAGGUAUGAAACUCCAGGCCAUGCUGCUAUAAUGGUAUAACCCACACUCGCGUACAUCCUGCCACUACUCGCAUGCUGAAUCGUCGGAAUCUGCGCCAUCUUGAUCAGAGCCCCGUACCGAGGCGAACGGCUAAUGAACGGUCCAUACACCAGAGGCAAAAUCCCCAGCUACCGCCCCGUCUGUAGCCCAUUGAUAAGAUGCAAGCGAACUGGACGCGUCACGGUUGACCCCUGCUCCACGCAAAUCUAGGCCCCUGGCAGCACAGCCGACGACCCCUUUCUCCUGAGGAAAGCGCACUGAUCUGACUGAGCAAAAUCACGCUCCCCUACAGAUUACCAAUCGCCGGCAGCCUCGCCCACGCUACCUACGUGUACAGAGCACCCGGACCAGCGCCGCACCGGAGCUCCGACCAACCGGAUCUCCCCGCGCCCUGGCUCGCCAAUUCGCGACCCCACGCCCACACCACGAACCCUAGCCGCCCGAUCCCCGCGCCGCAGCAAAUCCCGAAUGCGAGGGCAACCCGAUCAGCCAGGCAACAGGAGUUGGGUAAGGGCAAGAAGAGGGAUCCUCACCUUCCACGGUCAUCGCCAUCUCCGGCGGGCGGCGGGCGGAGCGGGUCUUCCCGGCGGUCUGUCGUCUCCUCCUGCUUUCCUCUCCUCUCCGACUCCAAUAAACUCCUCUGACCGACCGACCGACCGAGCGAGCCCAAGGAAACAACCGAGACGCGCCUGGCAGGUGGGCCCGGUCGGGUUGGUGGGGCGGGCCCGCAUGUAAGCAGGGCCCGAAAGCCUUGGUGGGCUUUGUGGGGUUGUGGCGCUAGGGCAAAAGAUCUCGGGGUUUCUUUGUUUGGGCUUUUGGAGUAGGAGCGGCGGCGGCGGCGGCGGCGGCGGAGAGAGAGGAGGCCAGCAGCCAUGGUGCGGCUGACGCUGGAGCAGACGGCGAGGGAGGCGGCGCCGGCCGGCUGCCUCGCCACGUUCCUCGACCUCUCCCACCGCUCCUUCACCGACGUAAGUCCCUCCCUCUCGCCCGCCGCCUCGGCUCGCCGGCUUUGCUCAUCUCUCUCUGUCGUCGUUGCUGAUAGGUGUCGUGCCUGGGGAGCUUCAAGAACCUGGAGCGCCUCGACCUCGGCCACAACUGCCUCCUCACGCUCGAGGUACCGCCAACCGCAACCCCAACCACAUCCUCCGCACGCCCAAUCUCAAAUGCCACGCACUGGGUCCAAACAUAUUCUUGAUGUGGAUUGCUGGAUAGAAACAGAUAGAUAAUUAUUCUUCCCGGCAUUCCACCUCUUUGGGUUGGAUAUAUGCAAGUACCUAUGCCGCCGCCGUUGUCGACUUGUUCUAGCUCUUGUUGUCGGAAGAAAUGCAUCCGUGCUGCCACCAUUCUCGUCUGAAUUUACUUUCGCGACCAACAAUGGUAGAUAACAGGGAAGCAACUGUAGGUGUAAAAUGAUGCUACAGCGCGCUAAUUCGAAGAUGCGCUCAGAUUAGGAUUUACCAACUUGUUGUGGCUUAUGGAUGAUGAUGAUAGGUGAUAGCUGCUCUGCUUGUUCCAUGGGACUGUAAACUCUACUUGCUGUUAUCUUCAUUUGAGCCUCUGAGUGUCUUCUUAUUGUCACUUAUGUCCAUGCUUUUUUACAUGUUGAAGGGUUUGUCCGCGUGCACCAAUCUCAAAUGGCUCUCGGUUAUCGAAAACAAGCUCGUGAGCUUGAAAGGUGCCGAGGUCCUCUCGAAGCUGCAGGUGAGAAGCUUUCCUGGCCCUGCAUUUCCAUCUGAUUGAACCCAUCCAGGAUUUAAUUCUAGCUCACUACUUUUUUAGGGGAGAAUUUAGCUCAUUGCUUGAAUCAUAAAUUCAUAAUACAGCGUUUUUCUUAUCCUGGCUUGUGCAGGUACUGAAUGCUGGCAAAAAUAAAUUGACAAGAAUCGAUGAGGUCAAAUCUAUGACAAGCCUGGGAGCCUUGAUUCUCAACGGUAAUGUGGUUUAUGAAUGCUAUACACUCUCUACUACUCUUCUUUCCCUGUUGUUAGCUUACUUAAAUUUACUCAUGUCGGAUCUUGGUAAUUUUUCGUGCAGAUAACAACAUUACUUCCAUCUGCAAGCUUGAUCCCCAUCAUCAGUUGAAUACUCUUGGUAUGCAUUUUGAUAUGGCACUUAUUUAUUACUCCCUCUGUCCCAUAAUAUAAGAACGUUUUUGACACUAUGCUAAUGUUAAAAACGUUCUUAUAUUUUGGGACGGAGAGAGCACUACCUCUGUUCCUAAAUAUAAGACGUUUUUGCAGAACAUCUAUAUUUAGGAACAGGGGUAGUACAAUGGACUGCAGGACCAUGUCCCUUCACUCUCUUGAAGCACACUGCAUACAUUCAAUGUUUUUUUUUCAUGCACGAUGUAAUCUUACUUCACAGUUCUCGCUGAUAAUAUGAAGAAAUCAAACAGUUCUGCUGUUGUAAAGAAGAGUAUCUUUUAUACACUAGAAGUACAGAAUACCAACCUUGUCAAAUGCAAUAUAAGUGAACUUGUUAAUUGUAAUUCAUGCUUUUCUGUCUCCGUGAACUUGUUACUUGUUAUUCAUGCUUCUGUCUCCCUGAACUUAGUUAAUUGUGAAUGUUUGCUCUGCCACAGUUCUCUCUAAGAAUCCAGUUAUUACUUUUGGUGAUGCUUUGGUCAAUGCAAAGUCUAUCAAAAAGGUACUUGUUCUUUAUUUAAUCUACAAAAAAGAAUCUUCUGGUGACUGACUCUGUUAUGUAGCAUUUCUAAUUGUUUUCACUAUUGUCUUAUUGUUACAACCCCCGCCAGAUAUCCAUGUCUCACUGUGAAAUAGAAAGCAUUGGAUCUUCCCUUGCUGCAUGUGUGGAACUGAAGGAACUUCGGCUUGCUCACAAUAAGAUCACUGUAUGUACAUGGAGGGCAAUUUUAUUUACUUGUCUCCUGCACAUUAAUUGCUAUUGUUACUUGUUAACAUGGCCUUAUCCACCUCUGACUUGCAGACGAUUCCAUCAGACUUGGCCAAAAAUACCAAAAUCUUGAACCUUGACUUGGGAAAUAACUUGAUUGAGAGGGAGUCAGAUCUGAAGGUUUGCAUCUGACUUCGUCCCCACAUGUUUAACACCAUAGUUUGUGUAGAUUGUUUUAACCGUUGGUUUGGUUGCUAGGUCCUUUCUGAACUGCGCUACUUGAGGAACCUAAAUUUGCAGGGAAAUCCUAUUGCUGAGAAAGGCACCCUAGCUAAAAAGGUGACCUCUCUCUCCGACUUCUCUUUGUUCCAGAGUGUAUUGUAAUUGUAGUUCCUGAGUAACUUAUAAAUGUUCUCUCAGGUCAUGAAAAUUGUGCCGAACUUGCGCAUUUUCAAUGCAAAGCCCAUAGAAGCCAUUUCCCAGAAUGAGAACUCUGGGAAAGGGAGUAAGCUGAAGAAGGAUGAAGAGAUGCCUGAUCGUGACCCCAUCGAUUCUAAUACGAAAAAGGAGAAAAGGAAACGGUCAAAGCAACAAGUGCAAAGCCCUGAAGAACCUGCUGCCAAAGACAUUCCUCCAGCUGCCACCAUUGAUGCCCCAGUUAAAUCCGCAUUGUCGGAUAGUAAGAAAAAGAAAAAGGAGAAGGUAGUCACGGAGCAGGACAAGAGCAGCAAAACGAAAAUCAAGGAUUAUAAAGCUUCUUUCGAUGAUACCGAAUUAAAGGCCAAGAAGGAAUCCAAGAAGAAGAAAUCUGCCAACAAAGAAGAUAAGGAUGCGGGAGGAAUCGAUGACACGGAGGUGUCGUUUGCAGAGUUGAUGUUUUCUGGAGACGGCGCCGUCCCAGAGCCCACGGCGAAGGACAAGGCCCAGGCAACUGCUGUGGAUGGGAAAUUUGUCGGGGGCCUGGUGAUUGAUCACUCCAAGAAGAGGAAGAAGGCGAAGGGCACCCCUAUCGACGCGUCGGAUCUUAAGCAGUUGUGCUCUGCGCCCGAGGUGGGUGCGGGUGGACUGUCGGGAUGGGAUUAGUGGUGCCUGGUGGGCUUUGAGAGACGAUGUGUAUGCCCAGUGAGUAGUGUUAGUAAACUCCUGUUCUAGGAUCUCUGUUGCGAUGAGAGCCUUUGUAGGCAGCAUCUGAAUUUCUUUCGACAGUUCUUUUGCACCUGAAAUAUGUGACCUGACUUUAAAAUGUUUGUUCGAAUUUUGUGAAACUUGAGACGAUGAUAACUGGAUUCCAUGGUUGACCGCUCAUAAUUUUAUGAAACUUGAUAUGAUGAAAAAUAUCGCUAGUUAUAGAAUUUUGUCGACAGAGUUCUUAUUUUAGUUGUUU
This 20654-nucleotide long non-coding RNA is filed under the name Triticum aestivum (bread wheat). RNAcentral describes it as "long non-coding RNA (TAES_LNC018745)". The stretch from base 18537 to 18623 matches the Rfam family "MIR1120/MIR1122 microRNA precursor family". The record is from RNAcentral. Lineage: Eukaryota; Viridiplantae; Streptophyta; Magnoliopsida; Poales; Poaceae.